CUCCUUGUGAACCUGUCCACAGAGCUAGUUAAAAGUCCUUAUGACAUGGUGGCUGGCCUCCACAGGGUAAGUGAUCCAAGAGACAGAGGUGAGGGCUGCAAGGCCUUUUAUGACCUAGCCUUGGAGGUCACACACCAUGAUCCUGCCACAUGCAACUUGUCACAGCAGGCCAGCCUCAGUAGUGCAGGACCAAAUACCAGGAGGCAAAGUGACCACAGCAUACUCUGAUUUGCCUAAAAGGCAAAUAACAUUGUCUCUACUGGCUGGAAGGGCACUCAAGCCAGAGGUGACAUUGUCUGUGGUGUGAUUUAUCCCCAAGUCACCAGCGGGGCUGGAUUUGAGUCAGACCACCUGUGUCUGGUGCUAUCUCUUCCCACUUGGGAGAGGUGUUUGGCCUGUCUCAGGGUCCUCGUCUGUGAAAUGGGCUCUGACUCCUGCCUUGUGGUGUGAUGUGAGGUUUGGGUCCAGUGCUGACACAAGCUGGUGCCUGAAACACCGGAAAGCUGUAAAAUGAGGUGCUCUGCUAUCCGUGGAAACUUAUCACCAAGCUUUCAUUCUUAAGCCAUGCUGCUCGAUUUUGGAGAUGUUAUACCAGAAUUCAGUGGAACGUGGGGGCAAGGAAAUAUCAGAAGGACAGUGAGAAGUGCCAUCCCAGCAGAGUACCAAGGAAAGGGCACAUCUCGAGAGACCUUUGUCAGGGCCCUGGAUCAUUCAGACUCACUUCAAGCACUGUGGGGUCCUCAGCCCUGAGGAGCUACACAUUCCUGUUCCUGCAUGGAAGCAGCAGGUAUGACCUACGCAGCAACCAUGCAGUGAAGGUACAGAAGAAAGACAAUGGAGUUCCUUCAGUGUGACCACUUGGAAUCUGCAUUUGUGUUUAAAAUCCCAGACAGUGACUUAAGGUUAGAACUUCGAGGUGCACCAUUUUAUUUGUUACUUCUGCAGGCUCAUGUAUUGAGCAAAUAUCAGUAUCCUGGAGCCCAAAUACUGCUGAAAGCAACUGAAAAUAUGACAGUGAGUACCAUCAAUAUCAGCCCUAAUCAACUUCCAGUUGUAUCCAGAAUACCAAUACUAUCAUUUCAGCAGCUCUGCAUGGGUCUCGAAGGGCAAGUCUGCUAUCCCUGCCUUCUGCAGAGGCUCAGGGAGGCUGACCACCUGCAGAGAAACCACAGCUGGAGUGGGGCACCCGCUGGGGGAUCCUCACAGAGCAGCGUCCUGCUGUGGGGUAACCGCCCUCUCCUGCCGCUAUUCUGCCUUUGCCCUUACUAGUCCUGUUGUCUGACACACUUGACUUUCCUUUGUAAUAUUUUGAGGAGGACCCUGAGGGUUUCCCUCUUCAUUCUGUUCCUGAAUUAUUUUCCCCCAAUUAUUUCAGAUUAUGUAUUUGCUUUUAAUUAUCUUUAUGUUGAUCAUUUAUCCUAAAACUCUGUUAUAUCCAUUUAUUUUAGCCUUGGUAUUUUGAUAACACCAUUUAAGCCUCAGCUGUGUGGCCAGUUAAAUGAGAUGAGUCAUAUCAAACAAGCACAUGCUGAUUUGUAGGUCUGCCUUCUCACCGACCUGUGGUGGGGCGAGAAUAGGGUUCCUGAUCUGCGCAGCAGUGCACAAGCAAUCUGCCACCCAGGCAGCUUCUGUGACUUCACGAGCAAUGACAUUUCUGAGACUGAUGAUGCUUCCUUGACCUAGACAUCCUCCUUCACAGUACCUACUUCAGGGGUGACUACUGCUGAGUACAGGAGCUGGGGGCUAGGGGAGAUCCCACAGGCAAAGAAGAGAGACAAGUGCAGUCCCAAGAGAUUCAGAAUGCUCACCCCACAGCCAAUCAACACCAGUUCUGGUUGGGAAAUCAAUGCAUCUGUACCCUGAGUUGCAUUGGAUCCUGGAGAACCAGAGCUCUGCAUGAUUUCUACUCUCCAGCCAGGGUAUUACAGCCAGAACUUGUAAUACUAAAAAUGGCAUUCUCUAAACUCCCUUGCAGUUAGAUUCUGGGCCUGAUUUUAUUCCAUUUUGACUAGGUGCAUGUGUUUUCCAUUUACAAGGUAGUGCGGCUGUGCUUCGCUGUGUCUGCUGUUUCCAUUGUUAAGCACAGAGGAGAGGUCCUGGUUUUCUGCAGCACUUUUAGCAAGAGGUCCCGAUUUCUGGGCAGUGGCUCCAUAAGUGUCAAGAGCAGGGCUUGGAGCAGCCAUUUUGCUGGUGAGCACAUAGCAGAUACAUAGUUCUGGGGCCUUUUUUUGAUUCCUAGCUCCUAAGUUAAGGUAUUCCUGAAGCACUUGGUUGUGGUUGAUUUUCCAAUUUCCUAAUUGUAAUAAAGGUGGGUGAUCUGAGAGCCAGAGGAGGCCCAGCAUCCUUUCUCCCCAACCAUUAUCCAACUUCCUGCUCAAAGCAGCUGUAGGACACCAUGGGUGGAGUUAUCUGGCACAUCCACUGAGCUGCCUAGAGUAGCUCUAUGCACAUUGGAAUGUGAGAUUCACUUGGGGAGGUGGCAAAAUGUUAUGGAAAAUAUUAGUAAAAUUUAUAGUUUAUAAUCUCAAACCUUUUGGAAGGCCAAAGGUUUUAUUGGGGCAGGCCAAAGGCAGCUGUCGGGUCCAUCACUAGGGAAGAGAUAGGGAUGAUAAGAAGCUUUCCCAGCUGAAGUCUGCUUACUCCACAUCCCUUUGUCUCUGCUGUUUAAUCACAUAAACUUUGUGCUGGAUGGUCUUCUCAGGGGGAGAUCAAAAGGGAAUUACCUGUUAAUAGAGUUUACUCUGGGCCCAGAACCUAAAGCUUUUAUCAUUCAUAAAACCUCUCUGUCAAUCGUGUUAAUUAUCCACAAGUGUGUUGACUUAGAACCUCUCUUAUGAAUAAAUGUGUGGAUGGACAGAGGGUCUUGGUCAAUCCUACUUAGAACCUCUCUUAUGAAUAAAUGUGUGGAUGGACAGAGGGUCUUGGUCAAUCCUACUUAGAACCUCUCUUAUGAAUAAAUGUGUGGAUGGACAGAGGGUCUUGGUCAAUCCUACUUAGACCCUCUGUUAGGAAUAAAUGUGUGGCUGGACAGAGCGUCUUGGUCAAUUGGUUGCAUUUCACCCUCUGAAAGCAGCCAACAGCCAUCCCUAGCCCACUUGUACCACCGUUAUGGUGUAAGUAUGCAUUUAUUCAUCUGUCGUUGAGUCAAGGUCUGUAGGCCAGACUUCCGCAGGUGGUGGGUAAUGUCUCAGUGGAACACAUCUUGAGUGAAUAAACGAUGCAUUUAUCUGGAGGACUCUUCAAAAGAGGCACAUAUCUCAUGAGUUGGUAAGUCUCUAUGCACAAGUCACAAUAAAUUGGAAGCACUAGUCUUGGGAAUGUUCUUUAUUAUUAAUAAUAGGAAUGUCUUCAUUGGCUUUUAAAAAACUUUUGGAAGGUGAGUAUUAGGUGGAAUCAGAUUUGCUGUCCUGUCCCUGAAAUUUGGCCUUUCUUUCUCCUUUCUCUCCUCUAUAUUAGAUUAUUUUCUAACUAGAGCACAAGGGCACCCCAUGGAUUUAAUUACUUGGAACCAUAUUUCCUUUCAUUAAAGGGAUUUACUUUAAGUCCUAAACAAGUUUGACAUUUAGCCUGUGUACUUUAAAUAACAAGUGAUUUUCUGUGUUCUCCAAGGUUACUACAAUAAACAUGUUAUCUGCAGGUUUUAAGUGUAAAAGGUUAACAUAAUCUCUAUGCACCCCUUGCUUCCCAAGGAAAUAUUUUUGCAUACACAAUUAUACACAGAUAUACAAAGUAUAGGCUUUGUUUUACUUUAUCUUUACACAAGAUAAAGUAAAACAAAGCUUACUAUUUAGAAAGCUUACUAUUCUGUAACAUUUAGUACAUCCUGAACAUCUUUGCUUAGCAGGACAGACAAUGAAAAGCCAGCAGAAUAGCAAGGAUCUGUUGAGCAUUUCUCAUGCGCUGUGUGUUAAACUAAGCCCUUAAGUGGAUCGACAUCUUUGAUCUACAUAGCAGAUAGGAAGUUGGCACUUUGAAUAUCAAGCCUGCUCUCUUGGAGAAGGUUAUGCAUGUUAACCCACCUGGCCCCUCCUCCUCACACUCUACUCCCUACUUUCUGGAGAGAGUCUGUUUUUCAGGGCUUUCUUUUGGCUUUAAGAAUAUUGCCCACAAUGACUAAAAGUAAGCCUUCUCUUUUCCAAGACUUGUGUUUCCUAUGCUAUGAUCCUGUUUUACCACACUCCUUAGCACUUCCUGAAUGACGUAGUGAACCAGAGCAUCUUUGUCUUGUUCCUGCGAGGCCUGGACCAGCUGCCCCAGAUGAAGCCCAGCCUCAGGGCGAAGCUGCCCAACAAGCUUCCAACUCAGAGGAAGCCACAGCUUGAGUUGCCAUUGAUGUUGCCAUUGGCCCAGGGGUGAGUUAGUACCACCUAACAUCCCCUCAAGAGGAGACCCAGCCUCCUGCAUGAGAAUGGAGUAAUCCUGGGAGAUGGUAUCUCCCUGAACAUAGACAGGACCUGGCAGUGAGGUCCACAGUGCCUGACCCCUGUGAGCCAGUGCCUCCAGAACCUGAGACUUCAAGUCAUUGCCCACUGGGGGAUGGACUGAAGCACAUCUCAAAAUUCAACCAGAUUUCCAGCUGGAGGUCAGGGGAAUCUAGAAACAUUAACUGCCUCCCCCAUUAAACAGAUGCAUUUAUUUUUGCAUUUAUUGAAUUAAUUUACAAAAUGAUGCUCUCUUGAGGGAAGCAUUCCCUGGAGCUUGCAAAUACCAACGAAUACCAUGUAGUUAGUAUGCAUUCAACAGAAGCAGUCAUGUCAGGGUUAUAUUAGCACCAACCAAAGAAUACAAACAUCCAGACUUUUGAAUUCUCCAACCUCGAAAACCUCUGUGAUUUUCUGUCUUUUAGGACUCAUCUAGAUAGGAAAAUUCCUGCCAGAAGUUUCUGUGCAGCACAUUCCUGAACUUCCUUCAAUAGUUUAACGUCUUUCUGAGGUUUCUGGUGUCAGUCCUUAGGGCCGACUGUUACCACCUUGAAUCCAAGGGGACUGUUUUGGAGGAGAGGAUGGGGGACCUAGUUGCAUCUUCCUCGUAGUGGGACCAGUUAGUCUAAUGUGUUUUUUCAGUCUUCUAUAUGGGAGAAGCACCUGUGGAGCCCAGUAUUCAGGUGUUUCUGAAACUGCUCCCUGUGAAUGAGGGCAUCUGCCCGCCUCCAGUGUCCCAAUCCUGCCUACUCCCUCUCUCCUCUUCUGAUGAGAUCUUUCAGCAAAUCAAGGCUGGGGCUUGACAAGCAACUUCCCAGUCAUCACCAACUCUCUGUAUUUUAAGGUCUCCAUCCACACUGCUUGCCCUGAAAGGAAAAGAAGCUACGCACUUACCCAAUGAAUCUAGAAAGAACCUGUUACUCUGCUCUUGUGCUAUCUGGGUAAAACUGAUCAAACAGCACAUUUUUCUGAGGCUAGGUUUGCUUCCUUUCUUCCUUUUCUGUUAUUGAAAAAGUUUGGUGUGGUUUCUGUUUCUACUUACUUUUAAAUUUUUUAAAUUAUUGACACAUAACUGUACAUACUUAUGGGGUACAAUGAAAUUUUUUUUGAGAUGGGGUGGCACUCUGUCACCUAGACUGGAAUGGUGGCAUGAUUACGGCUUGCUGCAGCCACUAAUUCCCAGGCUCAGGUCAUCUUCCCACCUCAGCCUCCUGAGUAGCUGGGACUAUAGGUGCACGCCAUUAUGCGUCACUAAUUUUCAUAUUUUUCAUAGAAACAGGGUUUCACAUGUUGCCCAGCCUGGUCUUGAACUCCUGGACUCAAACUAUCCACCUGCCUUGGUGUCCCAAAGUGCUGGGAUUACAAGCAUGAGCCACCGCACCCAUUCUGACGCUUUAGUAUAUGUGCGCAUU
Long non-coding RNA from Callithrix jacchus (white-tufted-ear marmoset), 5833 nucleotides. RefSeq lists it as uncharacterized. NCBI's taxonomy places the organism in Eukaryota, Metazoa, Chordata, Mammalia, Primates, Cebidae. The record is from RefSeq and is a predicted model, not a curated record.